UCGCGUUUGUCCAAUAUGGCGGCGCCCAGUGGCGGUGUGAACUGUGAAGAGUUCGCCGAGUUCCAGUUCUGGAAGCUAGAAGUCCAAGAUCAAAGUCCUGUCAAGAUUGGUUUCUGGAAUUACUCAAGGUGAUGAGGACGAUUGAUGACAGAAUAGUACAUGAAUUAAACACUACGGUUCCAACAGCUUCCUUUGCA
RNA transcript from Myotis lucifugus (little brown bat), 197 nucleotides. RefSeq lists it as uncharacterized. The transcript is spliced from 3 exons. Lineage: Eukaryota; Metazoa; Chordata; Mammalia; Chiroptera; Vespertilionidae. The record is from RefSeq and is a predicted model, not a curated record.